RNAcentral lists this ribosomal RNA (175 nucleotides) under uncultured bacterium. RNAcentral's name for it is "partial 16S ribosomal RNA". It matches the Rfam family "Bacterial small subunit ribosomal RNA", at positions 1325 to 1500 of the family's 1533-position model. The record is from RNAcentral.
GCCGGAAUUGCUAGUAAUGGCAGGUCAGCAUACUGCCGUGAAUACGUUCCCGGGCCUUGUACACACCGCCCGUCACACCAUGAGAGUUGGGAAUACCCGAAGCCUGUGAGCUAACUUUUAGAGGCAGCAGUCGAAGGUAGAAUCAAUGAUUGGGGUGAAGUCGUAACAAGGUAAC